GUCUGCAUAGCACAGUUGGUUAGAGCAUAGUACUAAUAAUGAUAAGGUUGAAAGUUUGACCCCUGUAUGGGACA
Podarcis lilfordi (Lilford's wall lizard) is the source of this 74-nucleotide non-coding RNA. NCBI's taxonomy places the organism in Eukaryota, Metazoa, Chordata, Lepidosauria, Squamata, Lacertidae. The record is from the annotation of a GenBank genome assembly.